This is a long non-coding RNA of Zingiber officinale, 301 nucleotides long. RefSeq lists it as uncharacterized. The record is from RefSeq and is a predicted model, not a curated record. Lineage: Eukaryota; Viridiplantae; Streptophyta; Magnoliopsida; Zingiberales; Zingiberaceae. The transcript is spliced from 3 exons.
GCGACUAGGGUUCCAAGGAUCUUUGAUUUUCCUUUUCUUGCUGUGAUAGAAGUCUCGAUUGAAGGUAGUUGUCGACAGAAGCUUUAGGGCAAUGAGGUGGAUUUCCAGCAGCCACCUUGUUUAUGGCUGUGAGUUUGAGGACUCUGAUUUGAGACGAGCAAUUCGACGUUGGACUUGACUGGAUUGGACCUGCUAUUUGAGGCGGGUACCUCUUGACUUAUCUUUUAUGAUAUUGUCAUUUGGAUAUGCAUAGUAUUUUAUAGCUACAAGCAAUGAUCAUGUUGUUUUUGGUAUGUCUCAG